RNAcentral lists this transfer RNA (74 nucleotides) under Bacteroidota bacterium. RNAcentral describes it as "Bacteroidetes bacterium (groundwater metagenome) tRNA-Pro". It matches the Rfam family "tRNA". Rfam says of the family: Transfer RNA (tRNA) molecules are approximately 80 nucleotides in length. Their secondary structure includes four short double-helical elements and three loops (D, anti-codon, and T loops). The record is from RNAcentral. RNAcentral also lists the same sequence under 1 other name. Lineage: Bacteria; Pseudomonadati; Bacteroidota.
CGGGUGGUGGCGCAGCCCGGUAGCGCAUUCCCUUGGGGUGGGAAAGGUCGCAAGUUCAAAUCUUGUCCACCCGA